RNAcentral lists this ribosomal RNA (120 nucleotides) under Mastacembelus armatus (zig-zag eel). The record is from RNAcentral. Lineage: Eukaryota; Metazoa; Chordata; Actinopteri; Synbranchiformes; Mastacembelidae.
UCUGGGGGCCACACUGUCCUGUGAGUGCCCAAUCCUGGUCACAUCGUAGAAGCUAAACAGGGCAUGGUCUGGUUAUUAUUUGGAUGGGAGACCGCCUUGGAAGACCAGCAACUUCUAGAC